ACAGUUCAUUGGUUUCAUUAUUUGGUCAUGUCUAAUUUUGCUAGCUAAGAUGCUAGCCCCUAUGCUAAACAAUGUUACAUUUUGACGCAUCUAGACCAUCCUUGUUGCAACCCUCACCUCAGCUGCUAAUGGUACCAAUUGUGCUGCUGGCCGGGGUUGUUGUUUUUGGUUGUUGAGAAGGAUGCUACCAGUUAUGUCUUUGUUUGUGCAAACUUUAUGAUUAGCAGGUACAGUGAGCACCCUUCAGAACCUUUUGUUUCUUCUUUGCUCAAGUUACAUUACGUAUCAAGAUGUGAGUUACUAAAUGUUCAUGUAUGUAUCAUGGAUGGACACUACCUCUUGUAUUGUUGAUUGGUUUGCAGGCUUAAUGGUUCUAGUUCAGGUAGAAGAGCUCCAGCCUUAGAAGAUUUCUGGGAGAAUCGAGUAAGUGAAUACAAAAGUAUAUGAUCGGUUUCUUCACUCCUAUUUCUCUGCAUUAUUUUUAUCCUCAAAUAGUUCCUGCACAACUUGUUUGUACACAUGUGUGCCUGUUAUUAUUCUGGAGGUUAAGUGGGUGAAAUAGUUGGUGAUGUUUAGUGUGGAAGCCACUCAAAACCGUUGUAUAUAGUUGAAUUUGAGAUUUUUCUUCCAAUGAUGUGUUCGACUUUAUACAAUUGGAUUUCAAUUUUUUUUUCCCGAGUGAUUGUUACACAGAGACAAGAAAGUUUGUUUUAGUCAUGUAUUAGUGAAUCCUAUAUUUGUUUUAGUCAUGUAUUACACAAAGUAUUUGGCCACCGACGUUUGAAUUUAUAGACAUGUUAUUAGUUAUUACACUUGUAGUUAUGAAGCUUAUGCCAUGUGAUGGCAGUAUUAACCCCUUCAUGGAAAUGUGUUUAAAAGUUAAUGAAAAUCAGCUGUUGGAUGCCCAAUUAUGUUCCUUUUUCCUUGUUCUUGAUGUACACACUACAAAUCAUUUUUAUGAAUUUCUGAUAUGAUUGCUUCAAUGAUGAUUUUUGCAGAAGCACUUGCCUUUGGAAUUAAAGAAGAUCAGUUUAUGACACUGACAUCCAGAGAUCAUAACAAGGGGUGAGCUAAUUAUGUUGUAUUGUACUUCACGCUUUUCUGUUAUAGUCCGCAUCUUAAAAAUUUCCCUACAGAUUUCAGGGCUAGCAAAUAUGCUAAACAUAAAUACAGAGAAGGCAAUCAGUGCAGUGGAUUUCCGAUAUUGAUGCGAGAAAAAUGCCUUUGGAUCAAAGCCCACUAAGGACAGCGCGACGACUGUGCCGCACGUGAAGAGCAUGGUCAUGUCAUGGGACCACACAUCUGUGGUGGUCCGCUUGCCUUCUAUGGCGUCCAACACGACUACACCCUUUUACUCGGCCUGUUGUAAGAUAUGGUUCCCCGCCUAAUUAAUUUGUUCCUUCUUCCAAGUUCUUACAUAGUGUAUGUUCCUUUCUGUGUAGCGGAUUGGACUGGGCAGGGUGCUCUUUUGCUUUAAAGAUAGGAUAGGUGGAUGUAUUUGGUUUUAUGAUGGCCAGGUUGAUCAAAAUCACAUGGUCGUUUUUCAAGUUUGAGAAGAAAAAGACACUAGAACAGGUGAUUGAUCACAACCAUACUUUCAGAGAUUUAUAUUUGAACUUUUUCAGUUACAAUUAAAGGCAGAAUGUAGCAGUUGACAUUAUUUGUAAAUUAAUUCUCUGCAUUUAUGUAUGUGCUGAUGUAACUAAC
Molecule: long non-coding RNA, 1707 nt
Filed under: Triticum aestivum (bread wheat)
Lineage: Eukaryota; Viridiplantae; Streptophyta; Magnoliopsida; Poales; Poaceae
Description: long non-coding RNA (TAES_LNC009390)
Source: RNAcentral